CUCCUACGGGAGGCAGCAGUAGGGAAUCUUCGGCAAUGGACGAAAGUCUGACCGAGCAACGCCGCGUGAGUGAAGAAGGUUUUCGGAUCGUAAAACUCUGUUGUUAGAGAAGAACAAGGGUGAGAGUAACUGUUCACCCCUUGACGGUAUCUAACCAGAAAGCCACGGCUAACUACGUGCCAGCAGCCGCGGUAAUACGUAGGUGGCAAGCGUUGUCCGGAUUUAUUGGGCGUAAAGCGAGCGCAGGCGGUUUCUUAAGUCUGAUGUGAAAGCCCCCGGCUCAACCGGGGAGGGUCAUUGGAAACUGGGAGACUUGAGUGCAGAAGAGGAGAGUGGAAUUCCAUGUGUAGCGGUGAAAUGCGUAGAUAUAUGGAGGAACACCAGUGGCGAAGGCGGCUCUCUGGUCUGUAACUGACGCUGAGGCUCAAAAGCGUGGGGAGCAAACAGGAUUAGAUACCCUGGUAGUCCACGCUGUAAACGAUGAGUGCUAGGUGUAGGUGGGCUCAUACCCAUCUGUGCCGAAGCUAACGCAUUAAGCACUCCGCCUGGGGAGUACGGUCGCAAGACUGAAACUCAAAGGAAUUGACGGGGGCCCGCACAAGCAGUGGAGCAUGUGGUUUAAUUCGAAGCAACGCGAAGAACCUUACCAGGACUUGACAUCCCAUAGACCAGUCUAGAGAUAGACUUUCCCUUCGGGGCUGUGGUGACAGGUGGUGCAUGGUUGUCGUCAGCUCGUGUCGUGAGAUGUUGGGUUAAGUCCCGCAACGAGCGCAACCCUUACUUUGUGUUGCCAGCAUUCAGUUGGGCACUCACAAGGGACUGCCGCCGAUAAGGCGGAGGAAGGUGGGGAUGACGUCAAAUCAUCAUGCCCCUUAUGUCCUGGGCUACACACGUGCUACAAUGGGCGGUACAACGGGAUGCGAAGCCGCGAGGUGGAGCCAAACCCUGAAAACCGUUCGUAGUUCGGAUUGUAGGCUGCAACUCGCCUACAUGAAGCCGGAAUUGCUAGUAAUCGCGGAUCAGCAUGCCGCGGUGAAUCCGUUCCCGGGCCUUGUACACACCGCCCGU
RNAcentral lists this ribosomal RNA (1068 nucleotides) under uncultured Enterococcaceae bacterium. RNAcentral's name for it is "bacterial SSU rRNA". It matches the Rfam family "Bacterial small subunit ribosomal RNA", at positions 336 to 1397 of the family's 1533-position model. The record is from RNAcentral. Lineage: Bacteria; Bacillati; Bacillota; Bacilli; Lactobacillales; Enterococcaceae.